GGAGGGGUGCGAGCGUUGUUCGGAAUUACUGGGCGUAAAGAGCGCGUAGGCGGGUCGAGUAAGUCGAAUGUGAAAUCCCCGGGGCUCAACCCGGGAACUGCAUCCGAAACUGCUCGGCUAGAGUCCCCGGAGAGGAAGGCAGAAUUCCCAGUGUAGGGGUGAAAUCCGUAGAUAUUGGGAGGAAUACCAGUGGCGAAGGCGGCCUUCUGGACGGUGACUGACGCUGAGGCGCGAAAGCGUGGGGAGCAAACAGGAUUAGAUACCCUGGUAGUCCACGCCGUAAACGUUGUGCACUAGGCGUCGGAGGUAUUCACUCCGCCGGUGCCGCAGCUAACGCAUGAAGUGCACCGCCUGGGGAGUACGGCCGCAAGGCUA
Molecule: ribosomal RNA, 375 nt
Filed under: uncultured organism
Description: partial 16S ribosomal RNA
Rfam family: Bacterial small subunit ribosomal RNA
Source: RNAcentral